AGCACGCGAGACACUUACAGGCCUUGAAUCCAAUGAACCUUUUAGAGAUAGCGGUGGCCUUCGGAACAUUGAGAAGGUGCUGAUGGUGUCGUCAGCUCGUGUCGUGAGAUGUUGGAUUAAGUCCCGUAACGAGCGCACGCCUUGUCCUUAGUUACCAGCACGUUAAGGUGGGCACUCUAAGGAGACUGCCGUGACAAACCGAGUAAGGUGCCAAUGACCUCAAGAAUCAUGGCCCUUACGGGCUGAGCUACACACGUGCUACAAUGGUCGGUACAGAGGGUUGCCAAGCCCCGAGUUGGAGCUAAUCCCAGAAAACCGAUCCUAGUCCGCAUCGCAGUCUCAACUCGACUGCGUGAAGUCGGAAUCGCUAGUAAUCGCGAAUCAGAAUGUCGCGGGGAAUACGUUCCCAGGCCUUGUACACACCGCCCGUCACACCAUGGGAGUGGUUUGCACAGGAAGUAGCUAGUCUAACCUUCGGGGGACGGUUACCACGGUGUGAUUCAUGACUAGCAUAAAGUCGUAACAAGGUAACCGUA
This 536-nucleotide ribosomal RNA is filed under the name Pseudomonas sp. HA-OP14. RNAcentral describes it as "bacterial SSU rRNA". It matches the Rfam family "Bacterial small subunit ribosomal RNA", at positions 958 to 1504 of the family's 1533-position model. Lineage: Bacteria; Pseudomonadati; Pseudomonadota; Gammaproteobacteria; Pseudomonadales; Pseudomonadaceae. The record is from RNAcentral.